AUGAGGCCAUCCACCUACUCCCCCACGUGCUUAAGGUUAGUUGGAGGGAGGAGGCACCUUGUAACUUUGACUAUAUUUUUUAAAACUAUUCCUUAUCUCCCAUCUAAUUAUUUUCUAAUUAUUUCUUAUCUCUCAUCUAGUAACUAUUUCUUGUACCAAAGGUAUUCAUUAAUAAAGGUAGAUAACCCUAUCUCUAUCUCUAGUUGGAGGGUUCAAAUCGCACUAGCACAUGAGGAAAAAAAGAAAGGACCCACCUGCAAGAUAAUGCCACUCACUGGACCCAGAUUUCCUAUGGGCAAAAUACAAUGCAUCCAGCAUUCAAGCGUAAUUAGCAGAUCGGAUAAUCAUAGUCUACUAUUUAAUCAUUACUAUUGA
This is a non-coding RNA of Vicia faba (fava bean), 375 nucleotides long. The record is from the annotation of a GenBank genome assembly. NCBI's taxonomy places the organism in Eukaryota, Viridiplantae, Streptophyta, Magnoliopsida, Fabales, Fabaceae.